Molecule: ribosomal RNA, 490 nt
Filed under: Alteromonadales bacterium M3-C9
Lineage: Bacteria; Pseudomonadati; Pseudomonadota; Gammaproteobacteria; Alteromonadales
Description: bacterial SSU rRNA
Rfam family: Bacterial small subunit ribosomal RNA
Source: RNAcentral
CUUGAGUUUGGAUCAUGGCUCAGAUUGAACGCUGGCGGCAGGCCUAACACAUGCAAGUCGAGCGGUAGAAAGUAGCUUGCUACUUUUGAGAGCGGCGGACGGGUGAGUAACGCGUGGGAAUCUACCUGGUAGUGGGGGACAACUUGGGGAAACUCAAGCUAAUACCGCAUACGCCCUACGGGGGAAAGGAGGGGCUCUUCGGACCUUUCGCUAUCAGAUGAGCCUGCGUAGGAUUAGCUAGUUGGUAGGGUAAAGGCCUACCAAGGCGACGAUCCUUAGCUGGUCUGAGAGGAUGAUCAGCCACACUGGGACUGAGACACGGCCCAGACUCCUACGGGAGGCAGCAGUGGGGAAUAUUGGACAAUGGGGGCAACCCUGAUCCAGCCAUGCCGCGUGUGUGAAGAAGGCCUUCGGGUUGUAAAGCACUUUCAGUGGUGAGGAAGGGUGUAAAGUUAAUACCUUUAUACAUUGACGUAGCCACCGAGAGCCG